UACGAAGGGGGCUAGCGUUGUUCGGAAUUACUGGGCGUAAAGCGCACGUAGGCGGAUAUUUAAGUCAGGGGUGAAAUCCCAGAGCUCAACUCUGGAACUGCCUUUGAUACUGGGUAUCUCGAGUAUGGAAGAGGUGAGUGGAAUUCCGAGUGUAGAGGUGAAAUUCGUAGAUAUUCGGAGGAACGCCAGUGGCGAAGGCGGCUCACUGGUCCAUUACUGACGCUGAGGUGCGAAAGCGUGGGGAGCAAACAGG
Molecule: ribosomal RNA, 253 nt
Filed under: uncultured bacterium
Lineage: Bacteria
Description: partial 16S ribosomal RNA
Rfam family: Bacterial small subunit ribosomal RNA
Source: RNAcentral